RNAcentral lists this transfer RNA (74 nucleotides) under Melitaea cinxia (Glanville fritillary). RNAcentral describes it as "misc RNA ENSMCXG00005023320.1". It matches the Rfam family "tRNA". Rfam says of the family: Transfer RNA (tRNA) molecules are approximately 80 nucleotides in length. Their secondary structure includes four short double-helical elements and three loops (D, anti-codon, and T loops). The record is from RNAcentral. Lineage: Eukaryota; Metazoa; Arthropoda; Insecta; Lepidoptera; Nymphalidae.
GGCUCAUUAGCUCAGCUGGUUAGAGCGUCGUGCUAAUAACGCGAAGGUCGCGGGUUCGAUCCCCUCAUGAGCCA